This is a non-coding RNA of Ficedula albicollis (Collared flycatcher), 47 nucleotides long. NCBI's taxonomy places the organism in Eukaryota, Metazoa, Chordata, Aves, Passeriformes, Muscicapidae. The record is from Rfam.
CGAAAGGCUCUUUUAAGAGCCACUACAGAGCCACGGGAGAGAGCUGU